UGGUACUGGUACCAAAACAGAGAUAUAGAUCAAUGGAACAGAACAGAGCCCUCAGAAAUAAUGCCACAUACCUACAACUAUCUGAUCUUUGACAAACCUGACAAAAACAAGCAAUGGGGAAAGGAUUCCCUAUUUAAUAAAUGGUGCUGGGAAAACUGGCUAGCCAUAUGUAGGAAGCUGAAACUGGAUCCCUUCCUUACACCUUAUACAAAAAUCAAUUCAAGAUAGAUUAAAGAUUUAAACAUUAGACCUAAAACCAUAAAAACCCUAGAAGAGAACCUAGGCAUGACCAUUCAGGACAUAGGCAUGGGCAAGGACUUCAUGUCCAAAACACCAAAAGCAAUGGCAACAAAAGACAAAAUUGACAAAUGGGAUCUAAUUAAACUAAAGAGCUUCUGCACAGCAAAAGAAACUACCGUCAGAGUGAACAGGCCACCUACAAAAUGGGAGAAAAUUUUCGCAACCUACUCAUCUGACAAAGGGCUAAUAUCCAGAAUCUACAAUGAACUCAAACAAAUUUACAAGAAAAAAACAAACAACCCCAUCAAAAAGUGGGCAAAGGACAUGAACAGACACUUCUCAAAAGAAGACAUUUAUGCAGCCAAAAAACACAUGGAAAAAUGCUCAUCAUCAUUGGCCAUCAGAGAAAUGCAAAUUAAAACCACAAUGAGAUACCAUCUCACACCAGUUAGAAUGGCAAUCAUUAAAAAGUCAGGAAACAACAGGUGCUGGAGAGGAUGUGGAGAAAUAGGAACACUUUUACACUGUUGGUGGGACUGUAAACUAGUUCAUCCAUUGUGGAAGUCAGUGUGGCGAUUCCUCAGGGAUCUAGAACUAGAAAUACCAUUUUACCCAGCCAUCCCAUUACUGGGUAUAUACCCAAAGCACUAUAAAUCAUGCUGCUAUAAAGACACAUGCACACGUAUGUUUAUUGCGGCAUUAUUCACAAUAGCAAAGACUUGGAACCAACCCAAAUGUCCAACAAUGAUAGACUGGAUUAAGAAAAUGUGGCACAUAUACACCAUGGAAUACUAUGCAGCCAUAAAAAAUGAUGAGUUCAUGUCCUUUGUAGGGACAUAGAUGAAAUUGGAAAUCAUCAUUCUCAGUAAACUAUCGCAAGACCAAAAAACCAAACACCGCAUAUUCUCACUCAUAGGUGGGAAUUGAACAAUGAGAUCACAUGGACACAGGAAGGGG
Molecule: long non-coding RNA, 1197 nt
Filed under: Homo sapiens (human)
Lineage: Eukaryota; Metazoa; Chordata; Mammalia; Primates; Hominidae
Description: non-protein coding lnc-APPBP2-5:1
Source: RNAcentral